Molecule: ribosomal RNA, 253 nt
Filed under: uncultured bacterium
Lineage: Bacteria
Description: partial 16S ribosomal RNA
Rfam family: Bacterial small subunit ribosomal RNA
Source: RNAcentral
UACGUAGGGGGCGAGCGUUGUCCGGAAUUACUGGGCGUAAAGCGCACGUAGGCGGACCUACAAGUCGGGGGUGAAAUCCCGGGGCUCAACCCCGGAACUGCCUUCGAAACUGUGGGUCUGGAGGUCGAGAGAGGUGAGUGGAAUUCCGAGUGUAGAGGUGAAAUUCGUAGAUAUUCGGAGGAACACCAGUGGCGAAGGCGGCUCACUGGCUCGAUACUGACGCUGAGGUGCGAAAGCGUGGGGAGCAAACAGG